This is a long non-coding RNA of Trifolium pratense (red clover), 1183 nucleotides long. RefSeq lists it as uncharacterized. The record is from RefSeq and is a predicted model, not a curated record. The transcript has 7 exons. Lineage: Eukaryota; Viridiplantae; Streptophyta; Magnoliopsida; Fabales; Fabaceae.
GGGACUAGUUGAUCAAACAGAAAUCCCUGCUUCCUGCAAAAAUGCUUUUGAUGUUGCAUGUUUCCGCAUGGAGGAGAGAUUAUCCUACUCCAACACAGAAGGGUAUAUUACUUUGAUGAAUCCAUAUGGAAUUAGGAUGUGAUCUAACUAAAAUCUCUCUUGAUUUCAUACUUACUUUCAGUGCAUAGCUAACAAAGGCAUAUGAGACUGUUAAUGUUGUUUUUGAAGUUUCAAAAGCUGUUAAUAUGACACAAUCUAUGAAAGUUGUUUGUGAGAUAGAAGGUGGUAGAGGUCCUAGUAUGUGGGAUGGGAUGCCUUUACACACACAAAAGGGACAUUUAAAAUGUGCUGCCUUUGUUGUUCUAUCUCUGUAUAAUGAUGCAAGAUAAUCUCUUGGCCAAUUUUGAAAGCUGAUCUAACUACUAAUUGUUAUCGAAUAAUCAGUGACUAAAACCCCUUCCUUUCAUGGGAGUCAAGGAGAGCAUGGUGUUAUUGGAUCGGCGAGAAGAAUUCCUUUAAAUGAUAUUGCUAACGUUGGUUCUUCAUCUUUGAAAAAAACCAGCAAAAUCAUCACAGACAACAAGUUCGUUGAAGACAGGGAAAUAUACAGUACAUAAUGGUACAUUUAUUAAUCGUGCAAGAUGUUCACUAAGAGCUUCGUUUAGGCGAAAUGUGGAAUCUAUCAAACCACGUCAUAUUGCAUUCCAAGGCCAAAAGAGAUGAAGAAAUUGGCCUUAAAGUUCGUUUAAGAGUGCAAAAGAGCAAGGUAGCCACAAUAUUACCGACGGACAAAAGCAGGAAAGGCCACCCAAAGGGCACUACACUCUGGUAAGAUUGUGAAGAAGCCUCAAAAGAAAUCUAAUAAACCCAAUCCUUCGCGAAAGCCUUCCUCUUCAAGGACAGAAGAAAUGCGGGUGCUAUUCCAGACUGACAUGAAGGAUAAAAAGCCGAAAUAGAGAGGUUCUGGAACAGGAAAGAAGGUGAAGUAAUCAUUCAAAAGCAAGUCAAGGGACAAUGAUUUGCACAGGUUUCUUUUUAUGCCUAAUGGCCUACCAGACGGUGCUGAGUUGGCUUACUAUGUCAAAGGACACGUGUCUGUCUUGAUAUUAUCUCUUUAAUAUUUUGUGUUUAUGGAUUGAUCUGCACGUUAUUUUUAUUUUUCUUAAAUAUGUGACUUGACUGA